This 1381-nucleotide ribosomal RNA is filed under the name Candidatus Azambacteria bacterium GW2011_GWF2_42_22. RNAcentral's name for it is "bacterial SSU rRNA". It matches the Rfam family "Bacterial small subunit ribosomal RNA". The record is from RNAcentral. Lineage: Bacteria; Candidatus Azamiibacteriota.
AUUUAGAGUUUGAUCCUAGCUCAGGAUGAACGCUGGCGGCGUGGAUGAGGCAUGCAAGUCAAACGGGCUCAUUUUGUGUAGCAAUACACGUUAUGAAUCAGUGGCAGACGAGGUAGUAACACGUAGGGACGCACCCAGAAGUCUGGUAUAGCUUCGCGAAAGCGGGGGUAAUCCCAGAUGUGGUAGAAAUACCAAAGGAGCAAUUCGCUUCUGGAGCGACCUGCGGAGUAUCAGCUAGUUGGUAGGGUAACGGCCUACCAAGGCAAUGACGCUUAGGGGACCUGAGAGGGUGACCCCCACCGAUGGAACUGAGACACGGUCCAUACACCUACGGGUGGCAGUAGCCGAGAAUAUUCGACAAUGGGCGAAAGCCUGAUCGAGCGACGCCGCGUGAUGGAUGAAGUCCCUAGGGACGUAAACAUCUUUUAUGGAGGGGUAUUGAUAGUACUUCAUGAAUAAGGGGUUGCUAAACUCGUGCCAGCAGCAGCGGUAAUACGAGUACCCCAAGCGUUAUCCGGAAUCAUUGGGCGUAAAGGGUGUGUAGGCGGUAUGGUUAGUCUUCUGUCAAAAUCUCGGGCUCAACCCGAGACCUGCGGAGGAAACGGCCAAACUUGAGGGUGCGAGAGGUGAAUGGAACUCAUGGAGUAGGGGUGAAAUCCGUUGAUAUCAUGGGGAACACCGAAAGCGAAGGCAAUUCACUGGCGCAUUUCUGACGCUGAAACACGAAAGCGUGGGUAGCGAACGGGAUUAGAUACCCCGGUAGUCCACGCCCUAAACGAUGAUCACUAGCUUUUCGGAGUAUCAACCCUCUGAGAGGCGAAGCUAACGCGUUAAGUGAUCCGCCUGGGUAGUACGGCCGCAAGGCUAAAACUCAAAGGAAUAGACGGGGACUUGCACAAGCAGUGGAUUAUGCGGUUUAAUUCGAUGUUGAACGAAGAACCUUACCAGGGUUAGAAAUCUAGGUGAACCCCGACAGAAACGUCGGGGGUCCGCAAGGACAGUUAGACAGGUGAUGCAUGGCCGUCGUCAGUUCGUGAUUUGAAUUGUUCCCUUAAGUGGGGUAACGAACGCAACCCUCGUUGCCAGUUACAAGUGUCUGGCGAGACUGCCCCCUCUCCAGUUUUGGAAAUUUCCAAAACUGCAAAACUGGAGAGGGGGAGGAAGGCGAGGAUGACGCCAGGUCAGCAUGUCCCUUGAUACCCUGGGCUACACGCAUAAUACAAUCGCCGCUACAACAGGUUGCGACGGAGUAAUCCUGAGCCAAUCCUAAGAAAAGCGGCGCCAGUUCGGAUAGGGGGCUGCAACUCGACCCCUUGAAGCCGGAAUUGCUAGUAAUCGCGGGUCAGCUAUACCGCGGUGAAUACGUUCUCAAGUCUUGUAC